Molecule: long non-coding RNA, 701 nt
Organism: Triticum urartu
Lineage: Eukaryota; Viridiplantae; Streptophyta; Magnoliopsida; Poales; Poaceae
Source: RefSeq, a predicted model, not a curated record
UUGAGGAUUUGCCACGCCUUUAAUUAUAUUUUGAGAAUUUGCCCCCGUUUACCCUGUAACUGAGGAUUUACCACACAUUUGCUGUAAUCUUGAGGAUUUGCCCUCUGUACACGGUUUGGAUCAUUUGGCAGAUUAUAGUAUAAAUUAUGUGACCAAAAUGCCCCUGGUCCAAAUCAGGAUGAUUAAUCCCAAUUGGACAUGUACCUUAUCUCUUCUUCCUUUUGCCUGUACUCUGUUCGUCUGGAUGGCCGCCCUGCAACCUCGCCGUACGUCGUGCGACCUCGCAGCGGCUAUACCGGCAAGGGCGUCCUCCCCUGAGCUGCUGCUGUGUGGUGUUGUGCCUCCUUGAGCUUGCGACGCCCUCACUGUGCGCAACCUUCCACGAGCUGCCGCUGCAUGCUGCUGUGCGUCCGUGAGAUGCAGCGAGGUCUCGCUGUGUGGAACCUUCCCCGAGCUGCUGCUUCCUCCUGCUGACCCUCGCCGAGCUUGCUGCUGCCGCAAUGGGCUCUGCCUUCCCCGAGCUGCUGCACAGGUUUCUUAACAUUAACAAUCAAGUGGAAACUAAUGGCAGGACUCUGAAUUUGCAAAAAAUCUGGAGAUGAUUUUUUUGGAGUUUGUUGAUCAACUAUGUUUUAGGGAUAAAUCUGGGAGUUGGUUCAGACUCAUACUAAGGCAAAAGGUGGACGUAUUGAUAUGUUGCA